RNAcentral lists this ribosomal RNA (800 nucleotides) under Pintalia sp. 3 PCC-2008. Its description in RNAcentral is "SSU rRNA". It matches the Rfam family "Eukaryotic small subunit ribosomal RNA", at positions 1018 to 1821 of the family's 1831-position model. The record is from RNAcentral. Lineage: Eukaryota; Metazoa; Arthropoda; Insecta; Hemiptera; Cixiidae.
CCCUAGUUCUAACCAUAAACUAUGCCUGCCAGCGAUCCGCCGGCGUUCCUCCGAUGACCCGGCGGGCAGCUUCCGGGAAACCAGAGCUUUUGGGUUCCGGGGGAAGUAUGGUUGCAAAGCUGAAACUUAAAGGAAUUGACGGAAGGGCACCACCAGGAGUGGAGCCUGCGGCUUAAUUUGACUCAACACGGGAAAACUCACCAGGCCCGGACACCGGAAGGAUUGACAGAUUGAGAGCUCUUUCUUGAUUCGGUGGGUGGUGGUGCAUGGCCGUUCUUAGUUGGUGGAGCGAUUUGUCUGGUUAAUUCCGAUAACGAACGAGACUCUAGCCUACUAACUAGACGUAUCCGGUAUCCACAAUCGUGCUACCGGCGAGCAAAUUUCUUCUUAGAGGGACAGGCGGCUUCUAGCCGCACGAGACUGAGCAAUAACAGGUCUGUGAUGCCCUUAGAUGUCCUGGGCCGCACGCGCGCUACACUGAAGGAAUCAGCGUGUCUUCCCUGUCCGAAAGGACCGGGUAACCCGCUGAACCUCCUUCGUGCUAGGGAUUGGGGCUUGCAAUUGUUCCCCAUGAACGAGGAAUUCCCAGUAAGCGCGAGUCAUAAGCUCGCGUUGAUUACGUCCCUGCCCUUUGUACACACCGCCCGUCGCUACUACCGAUUGAAUGAUUUAGUGAGGUCUUCGGACUGGUGCGCGGAGGUGGCUUCUGCUGCUUCCGAUGUUGUCGGAAAGAUGACCAAACUUGAUCAUUUAGAGGAAGUAAAAGUCGUAACAAGGUUUCCGUANGUGAAACCUGCCGA